GUGGCGGAUCCCGAUCGGCUAGGGGCCGGUCUGCAAAACCGGUUUCGGAGGGUUCGAUUCCCUCCCGCCACUCCA
Molecule: transfer RNA, 75 nt
Filed under: Myxococcales bacterium
Lineage: Bacteria; Pseudomonadati; Myxococcota; Myxococcia; Myxococcales
Description: tRNA-Cys
Rfam family: tRNA
About the family: Transfer RNA (tRNA) molecules are approximately 80 nucleotides in length. Their secondary structure includes four short double-helical elements and three loops (D, anti-codon, and T loops).
Source: RNAcentral